CGACCGGCGCACGGGUGCGUAACGCGUAUGCAACCUACCUGUAACAGGGGGAUAACACUGAGAAAUCGGUACUAAUACCGCAUAACACUAUGAGAGGCAUCUCUUGUGGUUGAAAGUUUCGGCGGUUACAGAUGGGCAUGCGGCGCAUUAGCUAGUUGGUGAGGUAACGGCUCACCAAGGCGACGAUACAUAGGGGGACUGAGAGGUUAACCCCCCACAUUGGUACUGAGACACGGACCAAACUCCUACGGAAGGCAGCAG
RNAcentral lists this ribosomal RNA (261 nucleotides) under uncultured bacterium. Its description in RNAcentral is "partial 16S ribosomal RNA". It matches the Rfam family "Bacterial small subunit ribosomal RNA", at positions 92 to 354 of the family's 1533-position model. The record is from RNAcentral.